Molecule: unclassified non-coding RNA, 376 nt
Filed under: uncultured Actinomycetes bacterium
Lineage: Bacteria; Bacillati; Actinomycetota; Actinomycetes
Description: uncultured actinobacterium contains 16S-23S intergenic spacer region
Source: RNAcentral
UCCGGUUUGUCACCGGCAGUCCCCCAUGAGUCCCCGGCAUUACCCGCUGGCAACAUGGAACGAGGGUUGCGCUCGUUGCGGGACUUAACCCAACAUCUCACGACACGAGCUGACGACAGCCAUGCACCACCUGUGACCGCCCCCGAAGGACACCACAUCUCUGUGGUUUUAGCGGCCAUGUCAAACCCAGGUAAGGUUCUUCGCGUCGCAUCGAAUUAAUCCGCAUGCUCCGCCGCUUGUGCGGGCCCCCGUCAAUUCCUUUGAGUUUCAGCCUUGCGGCCGUACUCCCCAGGCGGGGCACUUCAUGCGUUAGCGCCGGUACUCCAAGGGUCGCUCCCCGGAGCACCUAGUGCCCAUCGUUUACGGCGUGGACUAC